AGCUAACCACUUUGAGCUUCAAUUUUUAUGACUAUGACAAAAGACAUACCUACCCUGAGGACUGUCAGGACAAGUGAGAUGAUACAGUGCUAGUCAACAACAUUGUUCACAAUCACAGUCCUCUGAGUGGCACCCCACAAUUGAGAAGGGCAGAGAAAUUAAUAAUUCAAUAAUGCUGAAAGUCAUCAAUGCAAUCAAAAUUCCCUGUAACAGAAGAAGAAAAAAAAAGAAGAGUCAUGAUGUUAGCAGGCAUUCUUGUACAUGUACCCUUAUGUAGGUGGUUUAAUUGCUGUAGAGAUAGACAUCUGGAUCUGUUUAUCAG
Cercocebus atys (sooty mangabey) is the source of this 322-nucleotide long non-coding RNA. RefSeq lists it as uncharacterized. NCBI's taxonomy places the organism in Eukaryota, Metazoa, Chordata, Mammalia, Primates, Cercopithecidae. The record is from RefSeq and is a predicted model, not a curated record. The transcript has 3 exons.